CACGAAGCCGGAGUUGCUAGUAAUCGCGAAUCAGAAUGUCGCGGUGAAUGCGUUCCCGGGUCUUGUACACACCGCCCGUCACACCAUGGAAGUUGGGGGUGCCCAAAGCCGGCAAGCAAAUAUGCUGUCUAAGGCAAAACCAAUGACUGGGGUGAAGUCGUAACAAGGUACC
This 172-nucleotide ribosomal RNA is filed under the name uncultured bacterium. RNAcentral's name for it is "partial 16S ribosomal RNA". It matches the Rfam family "Bacterial small subunit ribosomal RNA", at positions 1319 to 1500 of the family's 1533-position model. The record is from RNAcentral.